GUUCUUAUAAUAUAAAUAAUAUAUAAUAUUUUCAGUGUUAAUAUGAAUUACUGAAUUCUAAGAAUG
This 66-nucleotide transfer RNA is filed under the name Rhynchothorax sp. JZ-2022. RNAcentral's name for it is "tRNA-Glu". The record is from RNAcentral. Lineage: Eukaryota; Metazoa; Arthropoda; Pycnogonida; Pantopoda; Tanystylidae.